GGUGAUCAGCUGAUUCAUGCCCAUUCUGGCAUUCAUCUUCCCCAACACUGCAUAGUGCAUCAAGCGGAAGAUUCAGCAGUAUCCACAAAAAUAUAGUUUGUGCUAAUAAUAUACAUUGCCGCCAACCACAGCCUUUGCUUUGCAAUUGACUGAGGCAAUAUUCUUGAACGGAGGCAUGGUAAUGUGGACUUCCCAGAGGAUCAUAGAUGCUCUGACUUCUCUCGACCCACUUUUAAAGGCGUUGUCGGCCAUACUGUUCCAGUUCAGGGACUCUCGCAACAGAAAAGAUCAGCUGCUGGAGAACCCAUGGAAGGCCCUUGGGGAAGCGCCAUGGCCGCAAGGACCCAAUACACCUCUGGAGCAUGAAUGGAGGGCUACCCCGCUGAUGAGACAGAGGGAAGUGUAUAUCCUUUGACACAAAGCUGGUAUCAAUGCAUUAAACAGCUGAAAAACUGAAAUUGAUUCAAGGCCUUCAGUGCUCCCUGCCAAAAAAGCCUCCCGCAAGUAUCUAUUCUAUAUUGAAUUACAGUCGGGAAAAGUUCAAUAGGUUAUUGCACAAACAGACAGCAAAAGCCGUCACCAAUAGAAUGAAAGAAGAUUGUGCAGCCUCCCAGUGAGUUUGCUGCCUGAAAACAAACCCCCAGACUCUGACAUUAAAUCAGUUUAAUUAAAAUGUCCGUUCUUUUAAGGGUUCAUGUAGAAAGACAUAGUUCAAAAUAUUCACAUUUGCUUCCUUUUAUUUCAGCCACCUUAAUCCAUAACUAGGUUCCUAAAUAACAGUAGAUUUUCAUAGGUGCUGACCACUUACAACUCCAAAUAUAUAUCUAAAAGGUCAAUUACAAACUCAGGAUUAGCAAACUUUCAGUUCUGCCGUGUGCACAAUUUAAGUGUGCAGUGCGUUAUGCAUUGCAGGGAGAGGCAGUAUGGCCUAGAGGCUAGUACACUGGCCAGGGACUCCAAAAACCUAGGUUCUGGUUCCAUCUCCACUAGUAGUUGGCUGGGUGACCUUGAGCAAGUCACUUCAUCCCUCCUUGCCUCAGUUAGUGAUACUGACCUCCUUUUUAAAGCUCUCGGAGAUCUACUGAUGAAAAGUGCUAAAUAAGAGCUGAGCCUUAUUAUUGUAAUUAAGAUUUUGCACUAUACUGUGAGGGAGAUGCACAUGUUGUGUGUAGUGUGUUUUCUUCAUCAGCUGAAGGCAGAAAGCAGUUCGUUGUGAUGGUGUGGGCAUCAGGAAAUGGGCCAUGUGCAUUGUGUAUGACUGAAAUCAUGCCUUACCAAUCUACUAGAAUUAUUUGAGGGGAUCAAUAAACAUAUGGACAAGGGGGAUCCA
This 1330-nucleotide long non-coding RNA is filed under the name Chrysemys picta bellii (western painted turtle). RNAcentral's name for it is "lncRNA (ENSCPBG00000027175.1)". The record is from RNAcentral. Lineage: Eukaryota; Metazoa; Chordata; Testudines; Emydidae.